UUUCUAUAUGCACGUGUCCAAAAACACGAUUCCUGUACAAAAAGAGUCCUUCCCGUUUCCCCAACCAUACAGCGAGAGCAACAUGAGGUAAACGUCACUGAGAAUUUAAAACUGUCAACGUGGAAAAAAAAGGGGUUGCACCGGCCCACGAACACAACGCUUAACGGUACUAUGUUUCAGGACGGGUGUUGUGAGCACGUAACGUAAUUUGGGCAACGGAAAUAGCUUGCACUGAGCAAAAUGACGACACUAAUUUCUUUUAAAAAAAAGAAAAAAACAAAA
Rhipicephalus sanguineus (brown dog tick) is the source of this 282-nucleotide long non-coding RNA. RefSeq lists it as uncharacterized. The record is from RefSeq and is a predicted model, not a curated record. Lineage: Eukaryota; Metazoa; Arthropoda; Arachnida; Ixodida; Ixodidae. The transcript has 2 exons.